CAGAGGGGGGCAAGCGUUAUUCGGAAUUAUUGGGCGUAAAGGGCGCGUAGGCGGCUUUGCAAGUGGCGGGUGAAAUCCCUCGGCUUAACCGAGGAACUGCCUGCCAGACUGUGAGGCUCGAGACCGGGAGAGGUGAGUGGAAUUCCCAGUGUAGCGGUGAAAUGCGUAGAUAUUGGGAGGAACACCAGUGGCGAAGGCGGCUCACUGGACCGGUACUGACGCUGAGGCGCGAAAGCGUGGGGAGCAAACAGGAUUAGAUACCCUGGUAGUCCACGCCGUAAACGAUGAGUGCUUGGUGUAGCGGGUAUCGACCCCUGCUGUGCCGACGUCAACACAUUAAGCACUCCGCCUGGGGAGUACGGUCGCAAGACUG
Molecule: ribosomal RNA, 373 nt
Filed under: uncultured organism
Description: bacterial SSU rRNA
Rfam family: Bacterial small subunit ribosomal RNA
Source: RNAcentral